Molecule: ribosomal RNA, 476 nt
Filed under: New Jersey aster yellows phytoplasma
Lineage: Bacteria; Bacillati; Mycoplasmatota; Mollicutes; Acholeplasmatales; Acholeplasmataceae
Description: bacterial SSU rRNA
Rfam family: Bacterial small subunit ribosomal RNA
Source: RNAcentral
GAUGUUGGGUUAAGUCCCGCAACGAGCGCAACCCUUAUUGUUAGUUGCCAGCACGUAAUGGUGGGGACUUUAGCAAGACUGCCAGUGAUAAAUUGGAGGAAGGUGGGGACGACGUCAAAUCAUCAUGCCCCUUAUGACCUGGGCUACAAACGUGAUACAAUGGCUGUUACAAAGGGUAGCUGAAACGCAAGUUUUUGGCGAAUCUCAAAAAAACAGUCUCAGUUCGGAUUGAAGUCUGCAACUCGACUUCAUGAAGUUGGAAUCGCUAGUAAUCGCGAAUCAGCAUGUCGCGGUGAAUACGUUCUCGGGGUUUGUACACACCGCCCGUCAAACCACGAAAGUUGGCAAUACCCAAAACCGGUGGCCUAACUUCGCAAGAAGAGGGAACCGUCUAAGGUAGGGUCGAUGAUUGGGGUUAAGUCGUAACAAGGUAUCCCUACCGGAAGGUGGGGAUGGAUCACCUCCUUUCUAAGGAA